UUGUGUUAAUAAGUGUGUGAUUGGUUGGAGAAAUUUAAGAUUCAAAUGAAGUUUGAUCGAGAUUCUAUUGUUUGGGUCUUUGUGAAUUGAUCACUCCCUUGGGUUUUGCCAAGUUUUUGUUUCGAUUAGCCUUAGAAAUUAUCCCUUGUUUGUUCACCCGACCACGCUACAACCUUGAAAAGCCCUUGUAGUUCGUGCAUUUGUAUUUUUAAUACAAUUUUUGGACGACGGCAUAAUUUAGUCUUUUGUUUGCAAGAUUGUGGGUGAUUGAAAUUACCCCAUUUUUGCGUGUUUUUCAUUUAUCGAUGAUUGUGCGCUAGGUGUGAUUCAUUAUUGAACUAGUGUUGUUUUAGAAUGUUUGGCAUAUUGUUUGUAUUUAGCAUUUGUGUCAUGUUUAUGUUGUUGUCGUAGUUAGUGGUAAGUAUAUUUACUUUGUGUGUACCGUUUUGCAUUUGAGUCAUACAUUUGUUUCCUUUUUUCUAAACUUGUUGAUUCGUGAUUUUUGGAUAUCACUUUUGUUGUCUUGAGUUAGUUGAUUCUUGUUUAGGGACAAACAAGUUCAAGUUGGGGAGAGUUUGAUAAGUGCAAAUUGUAGCUAUUUUUGCAUAUACUUUUUAGUGCACUUAUUGACUCUUUGUUGUUAAUUCCGGUUGAAUAAACCCAACUUUUGUGUAAAUACGUUUAAUUUGCAUAUACUUGUUUUUGAUUCAUUUAUGUACCAUUUGAUAAUUUUCUAUUUAUUUUUUAGGUAUUGAGGCAUAUUUGGAGCAUGGGCAAUAAAGUGUCGAAGACACGGCUUCAAACGCGCGAUUUUGAGCAACGAAAUCAAUUCAUCAAAGAAUAAGGAUCAAAAUAAGGAUGAUAAAAAUCAUCAAUUUGGUUGUCAUUUUGUCAUUGUUAGAUAGAGCAUUGAAUAAGUUUCCCAACGUUUCAAAUCGGACAUAAAUCGAAGUUACGGUUCUCAAGUUAUGGCCAAAAAUAUGAUGUUGCUACUAGUGUCGUUCGCUCGGCGGAAGACAGGCUCGCCCGACGAAUCUGGCACGACAGAAAUGCGUUAAAAGAGAGGGAGGCUUAGAAACAUCAAAUGGGGUUGCAUCUUGAUGAUCGGAGGUCGAAUUUCUCAUCGAUUGGUGUUGACAAACCAAAAAUUGUUUUGUUCUUUGUAUACUCUAUUUUCUUGGGUAUGUUUGUAUAUUUUAUUUGAACAUAUGUGUAUGUAUUGAUCAUGGUGUUGGAUAAUAUAUUUACUUUACAAAUCA
Molecule: long non-coding RNA, 1259 nt
Organism: Vicia villosa (hairy vetch)
Lineage: Eukaryota; Viridiplantae; Streptophyta; Magnoliopsida; Fabales; Fabaceae
Exons: 2
Source: RefSeq, a predicted model, not a curated record